AUUGAACGCUGGCGGCAGGCCUAACACAUGCAAGUCGAGCGAGCGGCGGACGGGUGAGUAAUGUCUGGGAAACUGCCUGAUGGAGGGGGAUAACUACUGGAAACGGUAGCUAAUACCGCAUACCAUCAGAUUUGCCCAGAUGGGAUUCGCUAGUAGUUGGGGUAAGGGCUCACCUAGGCGACGAUCCCUAUCUGGUCUGAGAGGAUGACCAGCCACACUGGAACUGAGACACGGUCCAGAUGCGUAGGGGAGGCAGCGUGGGGGAAUAUUGCACAAUGGGGGAAGGCUGGAGGAGGAAAGGCGGGGUGGUUGAAGAAGGCUUUCGGGUGGUAAAGCACUUUCAGCGGGGAGGCGUUACCCGCAUAAGAAGCACCGGCUAACUCCGUGCCAGCAGCCGCGGUAAUAC
RNAcentral lists this ribosomal RNA (406 nucleotides) under uncultured bacterium. Its description in RNAcentral is "partial 16S ribosomal RNA". It matches the Rfam family "Bacterial small subunit ribosomal RNA", at positions 29 to 526 of the family's 1533-position model. The record is from RNAcentral.